RNAcentral lists this transfer RNA (71 nucleotides) under Dipodomys ordii (Ord's kangaroo rat). It matches the Rfam family "tRNA". Rfam says of the family: Transfer RNA (tRNA) molecules are approximately 80 nucleotides in length. Their secondary structure includes four short double-helical elements and three loops (D, anti-codon, and T loops). The record is from Rfam by way of RNAcentral. Lineage: Eukaryota; Metazoa; Chordata; Mammalia; Rodentia; Heteromyidae.
GGGGAUGUGGCUCAGUGGUUAGAGUGCUUGCCUAGCACGUAGGAAGCCCUAGGUUCGAUUCCUCAGUACCA